Molecule: small RNA, 376 nt
Filed under: Oryza sativa Japonica Group (Japanese rice)
Lineage: Eukaryota; Viridiplantae; Streptophyta; Magnoliopsida; Poales; Poaceae
Description: misc RNA Os01g0565900
Source: RNAcentral
AUGCGAAAUUUGUCAACAGAGGAACCCGUAGCCUAAUGGAAUAGCAAAUGACUAUCAGAGUAUGAAAAAUUUUGCUGUUACCAUCAUACCAUGGAAUCUUAUAUAGUACCUUACAAUACUAACCUGUUGUGGUUCUGUCCUUACAAGUCGUUUUUGGUCAUUGCUAAUAGUUAAGUCUUAUGUUAGUUUCUGUAGUUCUGUCAUAUUUCUGCUCUUAUCUUUAUCAGUCCUUUUCUUACCUGUGGCCAUCUCCCCUUAUCUCUGAAGUUGGGGCACUUGAUCCUUUUGUUUAUAUCUCUAUAUGUUAAGGAUCUGAAGCCCAACACUACAAUGCAGUAUGUGUUUGUUGUUUGAAAGACAGUUGGAUUGACAUGAC